This 435-nucleotide ribosomal RNA is filed under the name uncultured bacterium. Its description in RNAcentral is "bacterial SSU rRNA". It matches the Rfam family "Bacterial small subunit ribosomal RNA", at positions 31 to 507 of the family's 1533-position model. The record is from RNAcentral.
GAACGCUGGCGGCAGGCCUAACACAUGCAAGUCGAACGCUCGUAGCAAUACGGGAGUGGCAGACGGGUGCGUAACGCGUGGGAACAGUACCCUUUGGUUCGGAAUAACGUCAGGGAAACUUGAGCUAAUACCGGAUACGCCCGAGAGGGGAAAGAUUUAUUGCCGAAGGAUUGGCCCGCGUCUGAUUAGCUAGUUGGUGAGGUAACGGCUCACCAAGGGCGACGAUCAGUAGCUGGUCUGAGAGGAUGAUCAGCCACACUGGGACUGAGACACGGCCCAGACUCCUACGGGAGGCAGCAGUGGGGAAUAUUGGACAAUGGGCGCAAGCCUGAUCCAGCCAUGCCGCGUGAGUGACGACGGCCUUAGGGUUGUAAAGCUCUUUUACCCGGGAAGAUAAUGACGGUACCGGGAGAAUAAGCCCCGGCUAACUUCGUG